AGGGAUGUAGCUCAGUGGUAGAGCCCUAUUUGAGGAUCUAGGUUCAAUUCCUAGCACUA
Molecule: transfer RNA, 59 nt
Filed under: Ictidomys tridecemlineatus (thirteen-lined ground squirrel)
Lineage: Eukaryota; Metazoa; Chordata; Mammalia; Rodentia; Sciuridae
Description: Spermophilus tridecemlineatus (thirteen-lined ground squirrel) tRNA
Rfam family: tRNA
About the family: Transfer RNA (tRNA) molecules are approximately 80 nucleotides in length. Their secondary structure includes four short double-helical elements and three loops (D, anti-codon, and T loops). Further hydrogen bonds mediate the characteristic L-shaped molecular structure. tRNAs have two regions of fundamental functional importance: the anti-codon, which is responsible for specific mRNA codon recognition, and the 3' end, to which the tRNAs corresponding amino acid is attached (by aminoacyl-tRNA synthetases). tRNAs cope with the degeneracy of the genetic code in two manners: having more than one tRNA (with a specific anti-codon) for a particular amino acid; and 'wobble' base-pairing, i.e. permitting non-standard base-pairing at the 3rd anti-codon position.
Source: Rfam by way of RNAcentral